CAAGCAGGAAGGAAUCUUAUCCUUGGCACCCAAGAGUGCAGAAAGUACAGAAGACCCAUCUCAGACUACAGAGCCAGGAGUGAAGGAGCAAAGGGGCCAUUCUCUUGUCUGGAAUUUAGGUGUUCCUGGCUCAGAGGCUCUUGACAGCCUCUUGAACACGACAAAGUAGCCACAAAUCCUGUUACAUCACACCCCUACAUAAGAGAGACAAGAGAGAGCCAAGGAGAUAGGGAACAAGCCUGGCAGAAGAGUCUGGACAUGCCUUCCCUGCUUCCCACAGCCUGGCUGUGGACCUGGAUUCAGCAGUACCAUUUCCUACCUGUGUGACUACAAACAGAUCUCCCUUCCUCUUUCUCCCUCUCAACCUGUUUCCUCAUCUGGAACAUUAAUCUCUGGGAACUACUACAGGGAAGACUCAUGUGUGUCUUUCACUAGGUAAGUAACCAAAAAUACUGCUGGAGGAUGAGUAGAGCAGGCAAGAACAUGUUAUCCAACUGUGGCGCCGAUUAAAAAAAAAUUAAGGAAACAUCAUGAUGUGGUGAGAGUCUGGUGCAAGAUUAAACAGUGCAAAGGUUGGCAAAGCAAGAUGCCUGUUGUGCCCAGUGAGUGCCCAGAGCAAUGGCCCUCUGUAGAAAGUGGGUAAGUUGCCACUGUAAGUUCCAGGUCAGAGACUGGCCUGGUUCUUUUAUGGCUCCGGCUCCAGCAGCUUGGCACUGAGCAGGUGCCAUGGGGGUAGAGAGAUAAGAGCUUAUAUGAGAGAGUGAUCAGCAAACAGAGGCUCAGGGAAUGUGAGGACUCAAGGCCCAGGGCAGGCCCUGAGCAAGCCUGGGCCUCACAUGCACCCUCAUAAAGAGAACAAGUGCUUAAGGGUCCCCCAGCAUCCAAGCACUGUGGUCCCUGGAAUAGGGAAAAGCAGAGGUCUACCGAGAUCUAUGUCAGGCAGCUGUUAGUACAGCGGCCAAGCAGAACCUGCCCGGAACUACCCCUUUCCCUGCUCCCUGUGCCCUCACCCCUGCACCAGUUCUAAAGAUACUCAGACCAAUAUCAUCUGAACCCACCCUGACAACUAGAGACAUUAAGGCCCAGAGAGCAGAGGCAAUGAGAAAUAAAAACCCAGAAGCUGGGUAUGGUGGAGUAUGUCUGUAAUCCUAGCACUUUUGAGGCAGAGGCAGGAGGUUCAAGAGGAAUUCUCUGUCAUCCUCACUUACCUAGGGAGUUUGAAGCUAGCCUUGGCUACACAAAACAAAGAAAAAAAGACCCAGUUCUCCCGACUCCUGCCCUGAAAGUGCCACCACCCUGAUUUCUACGUGUGGGGACCUUGACAACUUGACAAGUUAUUACUUUAAUAACCACACACACACACACACACACACACACACACACACACAGUGCCUGCCACUCUGUUUUGUUUUUGUGGAGCAUGGUCUAACUCUGUAGCCCAUGAUCAACAGGCUGGUUUAUAACUUGAGACAGUCCUGCCUCAGCCUCAGGAGUGAUAGGAUUACAGAGAUGAAUCACACACAGAGUAUUGACUUGAGUAGGUGCCCACCCUACUCACCAUCUAGCCAGACAGAUGAUAAAUUAUUCCCCACGGGCCCCUUUUCCCCACCUUCCUCCUGGAGUAACCCUGUCUGUCACUAAGGGUGGAGUAAAGGCUGAAGAGUUGUCUAGGGACCAGGUUCUACGUUAGACAGUGGCUUCUGUGACGUCAUUAGGAAGCAGAACUAGACCCUCAAGUUAGAACACUUUCAGGCCUCUCAAGUGGGCUUGGCCUUGAGAGGGCCAUAUCCUGUUAGUGACAACAGGGGCUUUAUCCAAGCCCCACAAGGUCCGGAUCUCAGUGUUUACUCAGGAGGCCUCCAUGGUGAUGACUGUCCUGUGUGGGCUGUGAGAAAGGGACCGCUGCUGCCAGAGCCCCAAGAAUUAUUGCCCACCCUGGCAAAAGAAGGACUCGACAACCUACUCCCAGGAGCCCCUUACCACCUAGCCUGGGCAGAGAGCCCAAGGGAGGGCUUGGAGUCAGCAGAUGGAUCUGGUGCCUCUAACAGGAAAUUCAAGGGCGUCUAGAAGACUAACUACAUCGACCCAGCUAUCAAUCAAACUGAGUUCCUGCAGGCAUCAGGAUCUUGUUGGCAGGGCCCCAGCACAGAGGGAUUUCCUAAAGACUGAGGCAGGAGAGCAGAAGGACCUUCAGGGCCUGUCCACUGUCAAGUCCUUCGUUGAGGGGACAGGCUUCUCUCUCCCCAGAGGCUGGGGAUGCCCUGGGCAGCAGAAGCCUAAAGCCUGGCAGGGUAGUCCCCAGAAUUCAGGGCACAGGAACUAGAAGACAGAUUGGGAAUGAGGGCAAGGAGACCUGCAGAUGGAGUGAAGUACCCAGCCUAGCAGUCCAGGAAGUGGCUUGGACAAGGGAGCCAGGCUGUCUCGGUCAAGACCUCAACUCUCAGUUUACCUGACCUCAGUAUGUCUAGACUGUCUUGCCUCUAAGACUGUAGACCAAUGAGAUUUACAUUAUUACAGUGGAGGGAGUGGCUGAGCAGGAGUGCUGAGCUCAGUGCCCUAACCACAGUGAGUUCUCCAUAAGUGCACAUCGGAUGACAGCAUAUUGUCCCCCCACCUUCCCCCUCAGUUCCAAGAGCUGCCAAUGGCCUGCUUGUGCGCCCUUCGGAAAGCUGCCUUCAGUGGCAUUACCUCCUUAUGGUCACACAGUGCCUGCCAGCAGGGGACAGAGAGUCUGGUACUUCCUAUUCAAGGGCAGAGAAGCUGAGUGAAGGGCUGAUGUGGGCGGGGGCCUCUCCUGGAGCUCUGCUGUGAGAAAGAGGUUCUAGGUCAAGCUUCAUUCUGGGAUCAAAAAUCUAGUCCUAGAACAGCCCUACAGUCGGCCCAGCUGCUAUGGAACUGCUGCCUGGGGACUCUUCCUGCCCCAAGUCUAUGGAGUCCUGGGUCAGUGGGCAUCAUCACGUCUUCUCUGGGGGAGGGGGGGGCUGCCUCCUUCAGCACCUUCUAAAUUUAGGGCUUGGUUCUGUGACUCAUUUCUGAAUCUGCUUGGAUCCCUCCUCCAGGAGUGUGCUCCCACGGUAUUCUUAUCCUCCCCUGCCACAGGCACCAAAUCCUGCAGGAACCCCGGAAGGGCUCCCCACUCCUACUUGCCCAAGAUGCUCUGGAUGCCUCUCUGACCAGAUCCUACCCUCCAGCCCCACUUCUGUCUUCCCAACUUCCUCUUCCCUGGCCAAAGCUUUGUGACCACCUUGGGGGCUCUCUCCCAGGGGAGAAGGGGUGGAGUCAAGUCCUGCUCCUCCCAUCUGGCUUCAGGACACAGCCCGACACAGCCCAUUCCUGAAGAGUGCACAGUGCCUCCUCUGCCUCCUGAGACUAUUGUUCAACUCAAUGGAGCCAGGCUCCCCCAGGACUCUCUGUAACAGGCUGCUUGGGAGUUUCAUCUCCAUCUUUGGAUCUCCUUUGACCGUUCCAAGCUGAUUCCAUCCAUAAAUGUCAGAAAGCUUAGCAAAGAAGCAAUUUACCCAAGUCACACAGCAAGUCAAAGAUGGAGGCCGAGGAAUCCUCUGGUUCUUUACAUUCUUCACGAAAGUUCUGUGUUAGGAUCAAGGAAAUGAGGGGUCUGUAGUUUACAGACUAAUAAAGCAACCAUAAAGAGACA
Myodes glareolus (Bank vole) is the source of this 3655-nucleotide non-coding RNA. NCBI's taxonomy places the organism in Eukaryota, Metazoa, Chordata, Mammalia, Rodentia, Cricetidae. The record is from RefSeq and is a predicted model, not a curated record.